This 1463-nucleotide ribosomal RNA is filed under the name uncultured organism. RNAcentral describes it as "SSU rRNA". It matches the Rfam family "Bacterial small subunit ribosomal RNA". The record is from RNAcentral.
GCGGCGUGCCUAAUACAUGCAAGUAGAACGCUGAAGAGAGGAGCUUGCUCUUCUUGGAUGAGUUGCGAACGGGUGAGUAACGCGUAGGUAACCUGCCUUGUAGCGGGGGAUAACUAUUGGAAACGAUAGCUAAUACCGCAUAACAAUGGAUGACACAUGUCAUUUAUUUGAAAGGGGCAAUUGCUCCACUACAAGAUGGACCUGCGUUGUAUUAGCUAGUAGGUGAGGUAAUGGCUCACCUAGGCGACGAUACAUAGCCGACCUGAGAGGGUGAUCGGCCACACUGGGACUGAGACACGGCCCAGACUCCUACGGGAGGCAGCAGUAGGGAAUCUUCGGCAAUGGGGGCAACCCUGACCGAGCAACGCCGCGUGAGUGAAGAAGGUUUUCGGAUCGUAAAGCUCUGUUGUAAGUCAAGAACGGGUGUGAGAGUGGAAAGUUCACACUGUGACGGUAGCUUACCAGAAAGGGACGGCUAACUACGUGCCAGCAGCCGCGGUAAUACGUAGGUCCCGAGCGUUGUCCGGAUUUAUUGGGCGUAAAGCGAGCGCAGGCGGUUUGAUAAGUCUGAAGUUAAAGGCUGUGGCUCAACCAUAGUUCGCUUUGGAAACUGUCAAACUUGAGUGCAGAAGGGGAGAGUGGAAUUCCAUGUGUAGCGGUGAAAUGCGUAGAUAUAUGGAGGAACACCGGUGGCGAAAGCGGCUCUCUGGUCUGUAACUGACGCUGAGGCUCGAAAGCGUGGGGAGCGAACAGGAUUAGAUACCCUGGUAGUCCACGCCGUAAACGAUGAGUGCUAGGUGUUGGAUCCUUUCCGGGAUUCAGUGCCGCAGCUAACGCAUUAAGCACUCCGCCUGGGGAGUACGACCGCAAGGUUGAAACUCAAAGGAAUUGACGGGGGCCCGCACAAGCGGUGGAGCAUGUGGUUUAAUUCGAAGCAACGCGAAGAACCUUACCAGGUCUUGACAUCCCGAUGCUAUUUCUAGAGAUAGAAAGUUACUUCGGUACAUCGGUGACAGGUGGUGCAUGGUUGUCGUCAGCUCGUGUCGUGAGAUGUUGGGUUAAGUCCCGCAACGAGCGCAACCCCUAUUGUUAGUUGCCAUCAUUCAGUUGGGCACUCUAGCGAGACUGCCGGUAAUAAACCGGAGGAAGGUGGGGAUGACGUCAAAUCAUCAUGCCCCUUAUGACCUGGGCUACACACGUGCUACAAUGGUUGGUACAACGAGUUGCGAGUCGGUGACGGCGAGCUAAUCUCUUAAAGCCAAUCUCAGUUCGGAUUGUAGGCUGCAACUCGCCUACAUGAAGUCGGAAUCGCUAGUAAUCGCGGAUCAGCACGCCGCGGUGAAUACGUUCCCGGGCCUUGUACACACCGCCCGUCACACCACGAGAGUUUGUAACACCCGAAGUCGGUGAGGUAACCUUUUGGAGCCAGCCGCCUAAGGUGGGACAGAUGAUUGGGGUGAAGU